GCGCUUGGCGGGCGACUGAGAGCGGAGCGGGCGAGGCCGAGGAGCGGAGGCUGAAGCCGUGAGGAGCGGCCCGGCGAGGGCGAGGGGCGUGCGAGCGGGCGGCCGCGGCUCGCCUUUGGCCCUUCUUAUCAGGAUGAAAACGCUUCUGUUUGGUGUCUGGACCCUGCUGGCCUUGAUCCUUUGCCCAGGGAUUCAAAAGGACACAAGCCUUGGCAUCACUGUGUAUUAGCCACCAGAGCAAGUGAUCCUGGAGCUGCAGCCUGCCUGGGUGGCUGUGGACGAAGCCUUCACAGUGAAGUGUCAUGUACCCAGUGUAGCACCCUUGGAGAGUCUCACCCUUGCCCUUCUCCAGGGUAACCAAGAACUGCAUAGAAAGAACUUUACGAGCUUGGCUGUGGCCUCCCAAAGAGCUGAAGUCAUCAUCAGUGUCAGAGCCCAAAAGGAGAAUGACAGAUGCAAUUCUUCCUGCCAUGCAGAA
Homo sapiens (human) is the source of this 478-nucleotide long non-coding RNA. Ensembl annotates it as testicular cell adhesion molecule 1, pseudogene. Its record names the gene TCAM1P. The record is from Ensembl. NCBI's taxonomy places the organism in Eukaryota, Metazoa, Chordata, Mammalia, Primates, Hominidae.